This 559-nucleotide ribosomal RNA is filed under the name uncultured Glomus. Its description in RNAcentral is "eukaryotic LSU rRNA". The stretch from base 171 to 324 matches the Rfam family "5.8S ribosomal RNA". Lineage: Eukaryota; Fungi; Glomeromycota; Glomeromycetes; Glomerales; Glomeraceae. The record is from RNAcentral.
GGAAGUAAAAGUCGUAACAAGGUUUCCGUAGGUGAACCUGCGGAAGGAUCAUUACUGAUUUGGCAAACCGAGCGCGUUUAGCUAGGUUUUGCGAUCAAAAACUUUAUAUUUAAAACCCCACUCUUUUAAAAUGUAUACUUUUUUUAUUUUGAAUGAUAAAAUUAAAAGAUCACUUUCAACAACGGAUCUCUUGGUUCUCGCAUCGAUGAAGAACGUAGCGAAGUGCGAUAAGUAGUGUGAAUUGCAGAAUUCCGUGAAUCAUCGAAUCUUUGAACGCAAAUUGCACUUUCUGGUAUUCCGGAGAGUAUGCCUGUUUGAGGGUCAAUUAAAAAAAUCGGGCGUUUUUGCUGUCCGGAGUUGGGUCGUCAUAACCUUUCGGUUAAGUAACCUAAAAUUUUGUAUGAUUUUACGAACGUAUUUAAAAUAUUUAUGUACGUUUUGCAAUAUCAGUUUUAUUAGAUGUGGUCAUUUUUAUGGUUCGCGUCUAUAAUUUCUCAUCUAUUGACCUCAAAUCAGGUAAGAAUACCCGCUGAACUUAAGCAUAUCAAUAAGCGGAGGA